AUCUACAGCCAUACCACCUUGAACACACCUGAUCUCCUUUGAUCUUGGAAGCUAAGCAGGUUCGGGCCUGGUUAGUACUUGGAUGGGAGGAAUGCACUCCCCAAGCCUUUGAAGUAAAAGUUGUUUUUUUUU
Erinaceus europaeus (western European hedgehog) is the source of this 132-nucleotide non-coding RNA. The record is from Rfam. Lineage: Eukaryota; Metazoa; Chordata; Mammalia; Eulipotyphla; Erinaceidae.